Chelonia mydas (Green sea turtle) is the source of this 152-nucleotide long non-coding RNA. RefSeq lists it as uncharacterized. The transcript is spliced from 3 exons. NCBI's taxonomy places the organism in Eukaryota, Metazoa, Chordata, Testudines, Cheloniidae. The record is from RefSeq and is a predicted model, not a curated record.
CCCAGACAGCCAACAGGAGGCGCCACUGGUAAUCCAAACUGACAGAGAAAUAACCGUGAAAAGCAUGACCAGAAAAAGCAAUCGAGAGGUUGAAAUUUCAAGCAUUCUUUGAGAUAAUGGAGAGCAAACCCUGCAGAUACAGUGACACAAAU